Danio rerio (zebrafish) is the source of this 116-nucleotide ribosomal RNA. The record is from Ensembl. Lineage: Eukaryota; Metazoa; Chordata; Actinopteri; Cypriniformes; Danionidae.
UCAUCCAGCCAUAUCACCCUGCAGCCCAAGACCGGUUACUCCCUGAAGCUAAGCAGGACUGAGCCUGGUCAGUAUCUGGAUGGGAGACCACAUGGGAAAACUAGGUUGCUGUUGAA